Molecule: long non-coding RNA, 816 nt
Organism: Sciurus carolinensis (gray squirrel)
Lineage: Eukaryota; Metazoa; Chordata; Mammalia; Rodentia; Sciuridae
Exons: 3
Source: RefSeq, a predicted model, not a curated record
GUCAAGGACUUGUGAGUGCGUUGGGGGCGCGAAAAGUGUCUGGGAGGGCGACUGAGAAAUGGCGGAUAUUCCUAAGAUGUAUUGAGCUCCUGACCAGCCGCUCCCCAUCUCCCCGGGGAACACUCCCGGUCCACCUCAGGGCCCUUAGUGGUGCAGCCCGCAGACCCUCCGGGUCUUGCGGUGGUAACACGGCGGUCCUCUUCCCCUGCACGCGGGUGGCGGCCUGCUGCCCGGCGCGUGGCUCUGGAAGGCACGACGGGGAGUUUCCACUGGGACCAUGCUCACCGGGGUCUGCUUGGGGGCCAUUCCCAGGCCCGCCGGUGGGCGGAACCGCAGCUUUCUGCGGGGGUCGGGGAAACGCGGUGGCCUGAGGGUGAAUUGUCGCCCGGGGUGGAGUCUGCUUGUCACCCGCAGAAGAUGCGAUUGCCAGGUGAAGGCAACCCUGACUCCUGGAGUUUGGCGCCCUGAAGUUCAUGUGGCAGCCAGUAGACCAGAUAAGCCGUGCUCCGCUGGGCAGCUCAGUUGCAUUACUGGAGAGCCUUCUCCCUGCUCAAGAGUCUCACUCCCCAGAUGGCUUGGCUCUCCGGGACCCACCUACUUCAGGAGGUGAAGGACCUGCUCCAACUGCAUCUUUGGGGUCCUGGAACAACAAGGACACUCAGUACAAAUGAUCAUUGGGAUUCAGGAGAGAGUUUGAAGAAUGAAAUCUGAAGGAGGACAGCAAGUUCAAAUCCUGCCUCAACAUUUUGGAGAAGCAACUAAGCAACUAAGCCAGACCCUGUCUCAAAAUAUUUAUGGAGGGGUUGGAGAUGUAGC